RNAcentral lists this non-coding RNA (26 nucleotides) under Homo sapiens (human). Lineage: Eukaryota; Metazoa; Chordata; Mammalia; Primates; Hominidae. The record is from RNAcentral.
UGAAUAGCAGAAGAGCAGUGCAGGUA